Molecule: non-coding RNA, 175 nt
Filed under: bovine gut metagenome
Description: 6S / SsrS RNA
Rfam family: 6S / SsrS RNA
About the family: E. coli 6S RNA was the first non coding RNA to be sequenced, but its function was unknown until recently.
Source: RNAcentral
AUCCCUGGGGUGUGCGUGACACAUUCAUAUUUAUAACCAACAUAUUUUAAAAGGGAAUCAAAUCUCUUUCGGCGGCGUGUAUGCUCAAAUUUAUUUGAGAAACCCAGGAACCGAAAGGACCGUACCCACCUGCGAGAGCAGGUUUUAAAUAUUGAAAUGCACGGCACAUUGGGGA